GUGACAGCCGCCGCGGUAAUACGGAGGAUCCGAGCGUUAUCCGGAUUUACUGGGUUUAAAGGGUGCGUAGGCGGGCGCCUAAGUCAGCGGUGAAAGGCUGCGGCUCAACCGUAGGAUGGCCGUUGAUACUGGGCGCCUUGGAUUCGGUCGAGGCGGGUGGAAUGCGCGGUGUAGCGGUGAAAUGCUUAGAUAUCGCGCAGAACGCCGAUUGCGAAGGCAGCUCGCCAGGCCGAGAUUGACGCUGAGGCACGACAGCGUGGGGAUCGAACAGGAUUAGAAACCCGUGUAGUCC
RNAcentral lists this ribosomal RNA (292 nucleotides) under uncultured bacterium. Its description in RNAcentral is "partial 16S ribosomal RNA". It matches the Rfam family "Bacterial small subunit ribosomal RNA", at positions 505 to 796 of the family's 1533-position model. The record is from RNAcentral.